This 253-nucleotide ribosomal RNA is filed under the name uncultured bacterium. RNAcentral's name for it is "partial 16S ribosomal RNA". It matches the Rfam family "Bacterial small subunit ribosomal RNA", at positions 524 to 776 of the family's 1533-position model. The record is from RNAcentral.
UACGUAGGGGGCAAGCGUUAUCCGGAUUUACUGGGUGUAAAGGGAGCGUAGACGGCAUGGCAAGUCAGAUGUGAAAGCCCGGGGCUCUACCCCGGGACUGCAUUUGAAACUGUCAGGCUGGAGUGCAGGAGAGGUAAGUGGAAUUCCUAGUGUAGCGGUGAAAUGCGUAGAUAUUAGGAGGAACACCAGUGGCGAAGGCGGCUUACUGGACUGUAACUGACGUUGAGGCUCGAAAGCGUGGGGAGCAAACAGG